AACGAACGCUGGCGGCAGGCCUAACACAUGCAAGUCGAGCGAGGACUUCGGUUCUAGCGGCGGACGGGUGAGUAACGCGUGGGAAUGUGCCCUUCUCUACGGAAUAGCCCUGGGAAACUGGGAGUAAUACCGUAUACGCCCUAUUGGGGUAAGAUUUAUCGGAGAAGGAUCAGCCCGCGUUGGAUUAGGUAGUUGGUGGGGUAAUGGCCUACCAAGCCGACGAUCCAUAGCUGGUUUGAGAGGAUGAUCAGCCACACUGGGACUGAGACACGGCCCAGAAUCCUACGGGAGGCAGCAGUGGGGAAUCUUAGACAAUGGGGGCAACCCUGAUCUAGCCAUGCCGGGUGAGUGAUGAAGGGCUUAGGGUUGUAAAGCUCUUUCAGCUGGGAAGAUAAUGACGGUACCAGCAGAAGAAGCCCCGGCUAACUCCGUG
RNAcentral lists this ribosomal RNA (433 nucleotides) under uncultured bacterium. RNAcentral describes it as "partial 16S ribosomal RNA". It matches the Rfam family "Bacterial small subunit ribosomal RNA", at positions 29 to 507 of the family's 1533-position model. The record is from RNAcentral.